Non-coding RNA from Meleagris gallopavo (turkey), 579 nucleotides. The record is from RefSeq and is a predicted model, not a curated record. NCBI's taxonomy places the organism in Eukaryota, Metazoa, Chordata, Aves, Galliformes, Phasianidae.
UUAAUUUUUAUUUUAUUUUUUUUACCUACAGAAGUGUGAACGGGUGCUACUGGAGCUGCUCUGCCACGAGCCCUGCCGCCCCCUCCACCGUCUUUCCAGCUCCACAGAGAGCAGUGAUGCCAUCGACCUGACUCUGAUCCGUGCCAAGCUGCAGGGGAAGCUCUCCCCGACCUACACCAGCCCGGAGGAGUUCGCCGCUGACAUCGCUCGCAUGAUCCGCCAAUUCAACCGCCUGACAGAGGACAAAGCUGACGUGCAGUCCAUCCUGGGCGUGCAGCGCUUCUUCCAGGAGCAGCUCAGAGCUGCCUUCAGCAACAUCAGCUUCUCCACCCUCCUCGACCCCAGCAUGCCCUCGGAAGGGGCUGAAAGCAAUGCAGCAGCCCCCCCUGCCCCCCUCCCCGCCCCUCCUGUGGCCCCCUGAGCCUCCCCCCAUUGCUCUGGGCCGGAGGACAGCGGACUUGGCUGGGUAGACCUGUUAUCCUCAGCAAGGAGGAGGGGAGAGGGUUAAGGGAGGGGUAUCCCUACACUUCUCCCCCCCUCCCCUUCCCCAAGCUGUGAGACUCUCCCUGCAAUCCAUAA